AUAUCAAUAAGCGGAGGAAAAGAAACUAACAAGGAUUCCCCUAGUAACUGCGAGUGAAGCGGGAAAAGCUCAAAUUUAAAAUCUGGCGGUCUUCGCGGCCGUCCGAGUUGUAAUCUGAGAGAAGCGUCUAUCCGCGUCGGACCGUGCUACAAGUCUUCCUGGAAUGGAGCGUCAUAGAGGGUGAGAAUCCCGUCUUUGACACGGACAUGCCGGAUGCUUUCUGUGAUGCGCUCUCGAAGAGUCGAGUUGUUUGGGAAUGCAGCUCAAAAUGGGUGGUGAAACUUCCAUCUAAAGCUAAAUAUUGGCGAGAGACCGAUAGCGAACAAGUACCGUGAGGGAAAGAUGAAAAGCACUUUGGAAAGAGAGUGUAAACAGUAC
Molecule: ribosomal RNA, 378 nt
Filed under: uncultured fungus
Lineage: Eukaryota; Fungi
Description: eukaryotic LSU rRNA
Rfam family: Eukaryotic large subunit ribosomal RNA
Source: RNAcentral